AUGUCUAUAGUUACAUACAUCAUUUGUAUAGUUCGUCACUAGAGAAGUUUCUCUGAGCAUGUAGAAAGAAACUAUGAGGAGGAGGCACAACAUUCUUUCCUGGGGUGAAGCCAGUUCUUGGUAUGGCUUCACUGCAACUGCCAUUUGCCAUUUCUUCUCUCCCUUGGGGUAGUGAGAGGGAGAGGAUGCUGUCUGAGUGGU
This 201-nucleotide small nucleolar RNA is filed under the name Microcebus murinus (gray mouse lemur). RNAcentral's name for it is "Small nucleolar RNA U3 (ENSMICG00000018866.3)". It matches the Rfam family "Small nucleolar RNA U3". Rfam says of the family: Small nucleolar RNAs (snoRNAs) are involved in the processing and modification of rRNA in the nucleolus. There are two main classes of snoRNAs: the box C/D class, and the box H/ACA class. Lineage: Eukaryota; Metazoa; Chordata; Mammalia; Primates; Cheirogaleidae. The record is from Rfam by way of RNAcentral.